This 26-nucleotide non-coding RNA is filed under the name Cricetulus griseus (Chinese hamster). Lineage: Eukaryota; Metazoa; Chordata; Mammalia; Rodentia; Cricetidae. The record is from RNAcentral.
CGCUGAGUUGGUGGAGAAAGGAAGAC